AUUGAACGCUGGCGGCAGGCUUAACACAUGCAAGUCGAGCGAGCGGCGGACGGGUGAGUAAUGUCUGGGAAACUACGUGAUGGAGGGGGAUAACUACUGGAAACGGUAGCUAAUACCGCAUACCAUCAGAUGUGCCCUGAUGGGAUUAGCUAGUAGGUGGGGUAAUGGCUCACCUAGGCGACGAUCCCUAGCUGGUCUGAGAGGCUGACCAGCAACACUGGAACUGAGACACGGUCCAGACUCCUACGGGAUGCAGCAGUGGGGAAUAUUGCACAAUGGGCGAAAGCCUGAUGGAGCCAUGCCGCGGGUGUGAAGAAGGCCUUCGGGUUGUAAAGCACUUUCAGCGAGGAGGCGUUACUCGAAGAAGAAGCACCGGCUAACUCCGUGCCAGCAGCCGCGGUAAUAC
Molecule: ribosomal RNA, 406 nt
Filed under: uncultured bacterium
Lineage: Bacteria
Description: partial 16S ribosomal RNA
Rfam family: Bacterial small subunit ribosomal RNA
Source: RNAcentral